This 495-nucleotide ribosomal RNA is filed under the name uncultured bacterium. Its description in RNAcentral is "partial 16S ribosomal RNA". It matches the Rfam family "Bacterial small subunit ribosomal RNA", at positions 28 to 507 of the family's 1533-position model. The record is from RNAcentral.
GAUGAACGCUGGCGGCGUGCCUAAUACAUGCAAGUAGAACGCUGAAGGAGGAGCUUGCUCUUCUGGAUGAGUUGCGAACGGGUGAGUAACGCGUAGGUAACCUGCCUGGUAGCGGGGGAUAACUAUUGGAAACGAUAGCUAAUACCGCAUGACAACAGUUAUUGCAUGAUAACUGUUUAAAAGGGGCAACUGCUCCACUACCAGAUGGACCUGCGUUGUAUUAGCUAGUUGGUGAGGUAACGGCUCACCAAGGCGACGAUACAUAGCCGACCUGAGAGGGGGAGCGGCCACACUGGGACUGAGACACGGCCCAGACGCCUACGGGAGGCAGCAGUAGGGAAUCUUCGGCAAUGGACGGAAGUCUGACCGAGAAACGCCGAGGGAGUGAAGAAGGGUGUCGGAUCGUAAAGCUCGGUUGUAAGAGAAGAACGAGUGUGAGAGUGGAAAGUUCACACUGUGACGGUAGCUUACCAGAAAGGGACGGCUAACUACGUG